Molecule: long non-coding RNA, 975 nt
Organism: Callithrix jacchus (white-tufted-ear marmoset)
Lineage: Eukaryota; Metazoa; Chordata; Mammalia; Primates; Cebidae
Source: Ensembl
GCUUUUUAAAAAUUGCUAAUAAUUCUACUAUCCAUAUAUUUGGGUAUUUUCUUCAAGAUUAUUUUUAAUACAUACAUGUGAUAAUACUCUACAUUCUGUUUUACAUCUUUUUUUUUUUUUAAGAUAGAUUCUCAUUGUGUCACCAGGGUGGAGGGCAGUGGUGCAAUCUCCGCUCACUGCAAUCUCUGCCUGCCAAGUUCAAGCGAUUCUCCUGCCUCAGCCUCCUGAGUAGCUGAGAUUACAGGCACGUGCCACCAUGCCCAGAUGAGCAAAUAGGUGAAUGGAUAUGAAUGAAUGAAAGAAACUGAACUAUAGAUGUGCUAUGAUAUUUGACACCACAAGAAUGAAUAAAUUCUACAAGAAAAUGUGAAAAGAGAAAAGUGCAUAAAUAAGAAUUGAAUCUUAUGAUUUUUCAUCCGUCUAUGUAAAGAUGGGGUUUCCUGAUGUUGUUCAUACUGGUCUUGAACUCCUGGCAUCAAGUGAUCCACCUGCCUCGGCCUCUCAAAGUGCUGGAAUUAUGGUCGUGAGCCACCAUGCCUAGGCUCAUCUUCAUUUUACAGGUAAAACUGAGUAUAAUGAGAAGCACUCCAAGUGAGAAGAUAAGCGGUACAAAACCCAAUUCCCCAGGGAACACCAGCAUUCAAGGACACAGAGAGGAAAUGGAACAUGAGGCAGAUCCUUACUUCCCAAGGAGAAAGGGAAGACAAGCUGAGAGGCAUCAGAAAGUCCAAAGGAGGUGAGCAUUUCAGGGAGGAGUGAGCAAGUGUCAUAUGCAGUUGCAAGAUUAAGCAAAUACAAACAGUAAAGGAUUUUUAAAGUAGCAGGUAGGUAUACAGCAAAAUACAACUUCUCACAUUCUAUUUUCUCAGAUGAGGAAUUGUUGUGUUUUAAAAUAAAAAAUUAUGAUUACUACUAAGUUACUGUAAGUUCCAUUUCUCCAAACCAGUAAAAGGCAAGAGAGCAAAUAUGUGUUGG